RNAcentral lists this ribosomal RNA (488 nucleotides) under uncultured bacterium. RNAcentral's name for it is "bacterial SSU rRNA". It matches the Rfam family "Bacterial small subunit ribosomal RNA", at positions 9 to 492 of the family's 1533-position model. The record is from RNAcentral.
GAGUUUGAUCCUGGCUCAGAUUGAACGCUGGCGGCAGGCCUAACACAUGCAAGUCGAGCGGUAGAGAGAAGCUUGCUUCUCUUGAGAGCGGCGGACGGGUGAGUAAUGCCUAGGAAUCUGCCUGGUAGUGGGGGAUAACGCUCGGAAACGGACGCUAAUACCGCAUACGUCCUACGGGAGAAAGCAGGGGACCUUCGGGCCUUGCGCUAUCAGAUGAGCCUAGGUCGGAUUAGCUAGUUGGUGAGGUAAUGGCUCACCAAGGCGACGAUCCGUAACUGGUCUGAGAGGAUGAUCAGUCACACUGGAACUGAGACACGGUCCAGACUCCUACGGGAGGCAGCAGUGGGGAAUAUUGGACAAUGGGCGAAAGCCUGAUCCAGCCACUGCCGCGUGUGUGAAGAAGGUCUUCGGAUUGUAAAGCACUUUAAGUUGGAGGAAGGGCAGUAAAUUAAUACUUUGCUGUUUUGACGUUACCGACAGAAUAAGCA